CCUAGUCAGAGGUCUGGUAUGAUUGCACACUAAGAACUUUUUACACUUAAACUUUAUUUUUCUAUUGUAAUCAAAGUUGUCUUGUGUAAAUGGAAGGAACUACAUAUGGGAGUUUAGAGGACCCCAAAGUCAGACUCAACAAGAUCUCAGUCUUAAGUAUCAUUGUUGGUCUUCCGUUGAGGCUAAAGAAAAAGAUCAAGUAGAUGCAAUCCUAAAAAUUUUGGUGGGUGCAGAGCCGGAGAAUUUGUUUUCUAGCAUUUUAAUUGGUGCAAAAGCUAAGCCUUUGAAGCAACCCAAGGCACAACAUAAAGAAU
Molecule: long non-coding RNA, 314 nt
Organism: Papaver somniferum (opium poppy)
Lineage: Eukaryota; Viridiplantae; Streptophyta; Magnoliopsida; Ranunculales; Papaveraceae
Exons: 3
Source: RefSeq, a predicted model, not a curated record